Long non-coding RNA from Solanum dulcamara, 637 nucleotides. RefSeq lists it as uncharacterized. The transcript has 2 exons. Lineage: Eukaryota; Viridiplantae; Streptophyta; Magnoliopsida; Solanales; Solanaceae. The record is from RefSeq and is a predicted model, not a curated record.
UAUAUAAACUCUUUUUUGUUCUUAGAAAAUGGAGAGUUAGAUGCAAUAACAACUCUUUAUAUCAAAAGAAAAAGAAAAAUGACUAAAUGGGUCAAAACAAUUACCACUCCAUUCAGAAAAGCUAGAACUUUUUUCAAUAAUAAUCAACAAUCACCAAGAGAUUCACCAAGGGAAAAGAAGUCACAAGAAGAAGACCAAGAUAAGCAUGUGGUAGAUUUGCAAGGUGAAGUAAUGGCUUGUGGAUAUGAAGAUGUUCAAGUGAUGUGGUCAAUUUUGGACAAAUCCAAGGCCAUCAGAACAUGAAUCUUUGUUCUAUUUGGAGCUAAUUAAUUAAAUCAAGGCACAUAUUGUACAUAUUUUAUCAUCAUCUUGUUCAUGUGGUGGCUAAAUUGACGCCCAAAAUGCAAGAUUUUGAAAAUUUUGAUGAUGUUCUAUACAUAACAACAACCUUACCCCCCCCCCCCCCCAAAAAAAAAAAAAAAAAAAAAAAACUAAAAGAAGAAAAAAAGGAAAUAGCACAUACCCAAGAUUACUAUUUUUUGGCUAAUCCCCAUGAUCAAUGAAGAUCAAGGAAAGAUUCACUGUAUUUGAUUUACAUUUAAUUCUAGAUUCAGUAAUCAAAUAUUCAUUUAUUUUA